CCAUGAGGCAGCAGUCGAUGAGCAGCUCUAGAUACUCCACGCGAGGUUCUGCAGGUGUCCCACCCUUCUCUCAAGGCCAGGAUGCUCCAGAAGCAUCAUCCAGUGGUCUCCUCCCUGGUUGAUGUUAGCGAUGUGUCAGCAUUAAGCUAGCCCUGCCUGCUAGGCUGCUGGGGCCUUGGUGGCGACCAGCCCAGUCCAGCCCAGCCUGGCUGAGGGCCAGAUCAGACAUGCCGUGGCACCGGACUAGAGACGUGACAGGAUCAAGGAUUUGAUGGCAGAAAGAGGAUGGUUGAGAAAACAGGGGAAGGAAAGCGGAGACUCCAGGUCAUUCUCUGCACCAAGUUGGCGCUAAAGUAUGGUAUGUCCAUCGGCCGAAUUAACCAACACUAAUCCUAGCCCAUUCCGUCCUGCACCUACACAUAGCAUUCAAUGGGUUAAGGUGCAUAUAUUUGAGGACACGCACCCUAUAAAGGAUGUGGGUGAGCCAUUACAUGUGUGAAUAAGAAAAGUGUACAUGUUGCUCAGUCAGCUAUUGCACAGACAGAGACCAUCAAUCAGUAAUGUAAGCUGCCUUGCUCUUUUUGCUGGUCCCUCAAGUCUUCUCCCAGAUCUGGGAUUAGGCAGCACUUUGCCUGCAACACUAUUCAUUUGGGGUGGACUUCUGUGGUAAACUUUGACCACAAAUCAUGCAAAUCAGACUUUUACAGUUUAAUAUGCAUGUUUAAUAAAUAUAAUAGAAUGCAUUUCAAACCGUUUUUUAUGAUGCCUUUCCCUAAUUUCGGUAAAAGGUUAACGUUUGUAGCUGUAGCACUAUUUUGAAAUGACAAUAAAAUAUAUCAUAUAUAAUGUG
This is a long non-coding RNA of Girardinichthys multiradiatus, 850 nucleotides long. RefSeq lists it as uncharacterized. The transcript has 3 exons. NCBI's taxonomy places the organism in Eukaryota, Metazoa, Chordata, Actinopteri, Cyprinodontiformes, Goodeidae. The record is from RefSeq and is a predicted model, not a curated record.